This 32958-nucleotide long non-coding RNA is filed under the name Ananas comosus (pineapple). RNAcentral describes it as "long non-coding RNA (ACOM_LNC017324)". Lineage: Eukaryota; Viridiplantae; Streptophyta; Magnoliopsida; Poales; Bromeliaceae. The record is from RNAcentral.
AAACGAAAUUUCAAAUCUUUUUCGACAUUACUGGCGUAAUGAUCAAAGUGUUUCAAAUUUAUAAUUUUAAUGGUCGAUAUGAGACAUUUCUCGUUUAGCAGUGUAAAGAUAUUCAAAUCAAUUGAAUUUUGGUUAGAAAAUUUUUUAAACUAUUUAGAACAAGAUCUAUACGCUCGAUCUUAAUUACAACAUUUCUAUCAUCACUUUUUAGACGAUAUUCAUUUUCAGCCGUUUAUUUUUAUGUCCAUUUGAUGUACAAGAGAACAAUAUUGGAAAAGCAUAAAAUUUGAUUUCUAGAUGCUUGGUGUAGAUCAUGUUCAAUGGUGCCGAUCGUCGAUUUAGAGGCUCCAUCAUCAAAAACAAAUGGGUGGCAACGGAGCCCGUUUACUACCGAUAGUAUUCCAGCUCAACUCAAAGUUAUUAUAUUACACGAGAAUAAGAUAUUCAGGCGUGCAUAAAAAUAUGGAGUAGGUCUUGUGUGCUAUUAGGAGGACGGAGGCCUUCGUGCUCCUAAACCGUUUUCGAUGAUGGAGCUUUCGAAUUAACGAUCGGCUUUAUUAGACUUCGUCUAGCGUAGUUGAAGUAUCUAGAAAGUAAAUUUUGUAAUUUUUCGAUGUCAUUUACCUAGCGAUCAAAAGAGUUCAAAAUUAACGACUGAAAAUAAAAAUAUCAUAAAAAGUAGUGAUAUACCACUAAAAUUUUCGAUCAGAGAUAUUGAUCUUGUAGAAAAUAGUAUAAAAAAAUUUCUAUCAAAAUUUUAUCUGAUUUGAAUAUUUCUACACUGUUAAACUUGCAAACGAUAUACAUCGAUCAUUAAAAAUUAUUGAUUUUUAACCCUUUUGAUCGUUAGGUGAAUAAUAUUGAAAAAUCGUAAAAUUUAUUUUCUAGAUACUUCAAAUACGCUAGAUCAAGUCUAGGGGAGCCGAUCGUCAAUUCGAAAGCUCCAUUACCGAAAAAGACUGAGGAGCACGGAGACCUCCGUGCUUCUAAUAGCACACAAGACCUACUCCAAAAAUGUGUCCUAAAAUCACAAAUAUACUCAAAUGUUUAAAGAGUUACACCACUUACUCGCAGCCAUAGCGACUUUCAAAGAUGAGUUCGACAAGAUGAGAAAGAUCAAGAAUAUAGAUAGCACAAAUCUUGUAGGAGCUAGAGAGGCCAUGACAAAGGACUAAAGAGAAAAUCUAGCAAAGAGGUGUACAAAUUUUUGUCAUGAAGAGGAGAGAAUGAGGGGUUUGAUUUAUACUAACGUGGGAUAAGCAUUGGGAGCUCCCAAUAUUAGGGAUGUGUGUGAAAGAAACUUGGAUUGACUAUAAGGGCUUGUUUGGUUCAUUCAUUUUGGCUAUGGAAUGAGAAUCAGUUUGAUCAAAUUCGGUUAAUUUUGUUUGGUUCGUAUGAAUUGGUUUGGAAUUCCUAUUCCGGACUGGAAUGGGAAUGGCCUAUUAGCCUUUAACUUGAUUCCGGUCUUCUAGCCCGGAUUGAGAUUUCAUUCCGGAAGCCCACUAAGUUCUCGAAGCCCAUGUGACCAUCUCACCCUCCUUCUCUUCACCCCUUUCUCAUCAAAAAAAAAAAAAAAAAAAAAACAUAUCCUCUUUCAAAAUCAUAUCCCUAACCCACAUCAAUAAAAGUUUUUAAAAAUAAAUUUGACAUUUUUUUUGAAAAACUUAUUAGAGAAUAGUAUUAUAUUUUUCAUAAAUUUUAAAUACUAUAAAUUUAUAUUUGAGAGUAAAAUUAGUAUUAUAGUAUCCUAUAAUUUUUUUAGUUUAUACGAAACAAACAAUGAAAUGUGAAUAACUCAUUCCAAUUCUCAAUCCACAAAUAAACCAAACGUCUUGAGGGAGUGAGCCAUUCCAAUUAUCAUUUCAAUGCAUUUCCAUUUCAUUAUCCAUUCCAAUUCCAUUCUUGAACCAAACAACCCCUAAUAGUGCUUAACAAUUAGGGUAUACUUUUCAGAGUCAAAUUUGGAAAUAUAAUUAAGGGAAAACUUCAAAAACCCCCCCUGUGGUUUCGUGCAUUCUCACUUUGCUACCCUGUGGUUUAAAACGUAUCAAUUUACCCCCCUGUGGUUUCAUUUUUAUCUUUUCGGAAGCUUUUUCGUUAAUAUUUCGUUAAAUUAUAUACAAAAAACUUCAGAUAACCAUCUAUAUUUAUCAAAUAGUCACUUUAGUAUCCUUUAAUUUUAACUUUGUCACUGAUUUUAAAAAAAAAUAAUAAUAAAAUUGAUAACAAAAAGAUAAAAACGAAACCACAGGGGGGCAAAUUGAUACGUUUUAAACCACAGGGUAGCAAAGUGAGAAUGCACGAAACCACAGGGGGGGUUUUUGAAGUUUUCCCUAUAAUCAAAUUAGGAAGCUGACUCAAAUUUUCCAGUGGUCAAUUGAAUGCAAGAAUCACCUCAUACGCACUAAUAUAAGUGGUGGGGAGAAAAGAAAAAAGAAAAAAAUAACACUUAACCUAUUAUGUAGUGGUGGGGAUUUAGCUUUUAACUGUAUGUUAGGUUUCUUCUUAAAAGAUCUAUCCUUUAAGUAAUAUGAUAUAAAAGUAGUGGUGGUGAAUGAAACUCUUACCUAAUAGAAUCCCCAUAAGUUACCUCUUCCAAUUGUGAACACGGUAGUUCAAAUAAUUUUCAUGCAUAUUCACCUCUCACUUUAAUUUCCAUGUUUGAUUCAUUCCUCUUUUAGAAUCAAAGAAUUGUUGAAUUACAAGGCUUUACUAAAGUGAUGCUUUUGUUUUUUUUUCCAAAAUUCUGCGCCAUGCGUUGACGAAUGGCGAUUCUCUUCCGAAGAAAAAAAAAAUGUUUGAAAUUGAUAAUAGGGUUAAUUUUAUACAGAUCCCUACAAAAAUAAUAAAUAACAAAUAUAUUCUUACAAAUCUUAACUUUCGUAUGUUGUCAUUGCAAAAGUUCUGAUAUUUUCAAAUAUGUCCCUACCGUUAGAAUUCGUUAGAAAAAUUUAUUUAACCAUAAAUUAAAUACUUAAGUCUGAUUAGUUUUUUAUAUUUUUACUCAUUUAUAUUAUAUUGUUAUAGUUUUUGGAGGGAUAUAUUUGUGAUGGCAAAAUUAAAAAUAUAAACAGCUAUCUAACUGUCCUCUAACAAUAACAAACCAGAGGGACAUAUUUGAAAAUAUCAAUACUUUUGUAGGAAGUACAAUUAUAAAAGUUGAACUUUGUAGGGAUAUAUUUGUCAUUCACUACAUUUGCAGGGACUUGUAUGAAAUUUACCUUUGAUAAUAAUGUAAUCCAGGUUUAUAAAAGUAAAUUGCAAAUUAAUUACUCAAAAUUUUUUCAAGCAGAAAAAAGAAUUUAAAACAAUCUACUAAACUUGAUAUAGAUCUUUUGCUCUUUUUAUUAUAUAAUAUAAAACAACCAUUAUUCUUCAAAAGUUUAAGUUAUUAGAUGACAGUGUUUUUAAUAUUUCAUUCCCCCUCACGUCUACGAUAGGACGUGAACUUAAUUAAAUAGGAGGAAAUUAAAGGAGACUAGAGACUAGGGAAAUUCAAUAAAAUGAUAAUUUACUAUUAAUAUAUAUUCAGCAUUGUUUUUCUCCCUCUCUUUGUUUUUUUUUUUUUUUUUUUUUUUUUUUUUUUUUUUUUUUUUUUUUUUCUUCUACGUAGACCUCCUCAGCUAUUGGUUAUUUUGCUCGCCACCGGUAGUCUGAUUGGUAAUGCACCUAUUUUCCAAGAGAGAAGUCGCGAGCUUGAUCACGUGUUUAUAAUAUAGACCUUCUUAAUUUUCUAAUUUUAUAAGAAUCGGUUAACUAUAAUCAAACAAAGUGGUGAAAUUAUAUCACUUUACGAUUUUAUUAGAUUUAUAAACUUAAUAUUUUUAACAAAUACCCUAAAUCAGUUUUAACGGUGUGGAUCGUUGAUUUGAAUACCCUAAGAUCGAAAACGAGACUAUAGUACCGGAGCUCCGGUACUAUUGAUAGUAUAGGAGACUAGCUCUAUAUACUAGUGCUUUUUUAACCUAUUUAUUAAUAAUAGUAGUGGGGAUUCAGCAAUGGCUUUGAUUUUAUGUUACUAGUGUGAGAUCCACCGCCAUUAUAAGCAGAGUUCCCUGCGUACAUUAAGUUGAAUUAAUCUUAUUUUUUACUUCUCCCAUUAUCUUCUUUCACAACAAUCAUAGUAAGAUUCAUCUAAUCUCCGUUAUACAUGUCCGAGUAUUUUUAAAUCAUGGAUUCGAUAUCAUUGAUUUCGAAUUCUUUUAGACUGGGGUCUCAUUUAGAUAAAAAUAAACCGAAAGCACUUUAAGUACUAUAUAUGGCUCAUUUUGAAAGUACUAUUCAAUCUUUUAAACUUUGAGUUUUGCGCUCUAAUCUGUCAAUUCGUUUAUUUUAAGCUAUAUAAUAGCACUUUAUUACAGAAUUUAGGCGCGCCAUUUAUGUUAUGAACUUGAUUAGAGUAUUUCAUAUAACUCAUGUGACAAUAUUUUGGGUAAAUGUAUAGCGUGCUUAAAUUUUAUAACAGAAGAACCAUUAAAUCAAUUUACUAGACUAUAUAUUAAAAUUAAAUUUUUUAAAAAUUAGAUUGUUGUGUGAAAACGGUCCUCGGUUGAAAUAAGUUUUGUACAUUUUUUCCUCACAUUUAGUUUUCAUGUUUGACUCAUUCCUUCUUUAGAAUCAAAGAAUUUUUAAAUGAAAACACUUAAUUAAAGUAAAGUGAUGUUUAAUUGCAUUCUUUGUGUGGAAUUCCAUGCACCGGUAGUAAUUAAAUAGAGGAGGGUAUGAGUCUUCAGUCUUGGUGAGUGAUAAUUAUGUCUUGAAGAAAAAAGUGUUUGAAAUUAAUUAAGUAUGCAUCCGGGUUAUAAAAGUAAAUUGUUAAUUAAUUAAUUACUGAAACUUAUUUUCUCAAGGAAAAAAAAUUUAAAAUAAUUUACAAGUUAGGGUUACCUUUCACUGAUAGUCGGGUUGGUAAGGCCCCUCCCUUCUAAGGGGGGAGGCUGCGAGAUUGAUCCGGCUUAUAUGUGUAUAUAUAUAUUUAUGUUUUACUAGUAUUCUUAGAGGAGAGGAAGUUUACUGUAUCACACUUGUACCAUAUUAUCAGUAACAAGCCAAUCAUAUCUCUUGAUCAAUUGAAUGUCAGAAUCACAUGACAUGCACUAAUAUAUAUAAGAAAAGAAAAGAAAAGAAAAACAUUUAACCUAUUUAAUAGUUAUGACACAUCCAUAAUUUAGAAUAGUUUUAUAAAUUAAUGAGAUAUUAGUAGGCUAAACCUUAUCAAUCCGACUGUAGCAUUUUGGAUGGUAGUUAGGCCCAGGAGGUGAAGAGGGUUAAUUGUGCUAGGGUUAAAAUAGUUCUAAGAUAGGCAAUCUCCUAGGAAAGUGGGGUGACAUAGUCAAUCACCAUUCGAAAGUGUGAAAUGAGAUUCAGUUGAGCCAAGAUUUGAAUAACAGACUAAAUCAGGAUCUGGAAAUGACAAGCUAAGCAAAAGUCUGAAUGACAAGGCUAGUGAGACGAGUCUCAUAUCGCCUGAUACUUGUGAGUGUGCUUAAGUCUGACAAGAACGUCAGGGCUUAAAAAUGGGAGAAAUUAAAUGUGACAUUUCCAAGAUCUAGAAUAACUCUAUAUAUAAGAUAUAAUCGAGUUAAAUCUUCUAACUGACUAUAGUAUUUUGAACGAUGGUUAGACCCAAGAGGUUAAAAUGGUUAAGUAUGCACCUAGAGGUAGAAUAAUUUUAGGAUGGAUGAUCGAUUUCUAUGGAAAGCGGGGCAUCACAAUAGUGUUAGAACAAUUACCGCACAAAAAUCUGAUUGUGAUUUAAAUCUAACUAAAUUUUAUUAUAAAUACAACUUACUUGCUAUAUCCAAAAAAAUACUUAAUUGAUCCGGAAGCGUGCGAGGCACUGCCCUAAGACGUAUUCCCGUCCUUACGUGCGGGAUUAACCGGAAACAACACCCCAAGAUACGACCGGAAUUUCUCCUCCUGCGAGCACGAUCGUGAAGAAGAUUGACGAAGACUCUUUCAACACCCAGCGAUAAGAAUCAAUCAAAAUAAAGAAAAUUGGAAAAUGGAAUAAACUUAAAAUAAAUUUUCUUUGAUCCCUUUAUUUUGUUUUUCCUCUGCAUCAUGUCACAUAAAGUAUAAACAGUAUGCGUUAUAUAGAUGUGGGAGUUGAACGUUGGUCCACAACGUUCGACCCACGUCGCUAAUAAUGAGCGCCAAUUAAGAAGGAAAACGUCAGCUCUUCAGCGGACGUUAAAAUUCCACUCAUUUAGGAAAUAAAAUAAUAUAUAAAACAUAUUAAUUAGUUAAAAUUAAUAAAAGAUAAUAAAUAAGUUAAUAAGAUAAUAAUAAUAAAAGAAAGUAAUUAGGAAAUUUUGAAUUUUACACCAACAAUCCCCCACAAAAUUCAAAAUUAUCGAAAUAGGAAUGAAACUUAAAAAUUAAAAUAAAUAAAUGAAUAAAUCACCGGGUGUUUAUACUAUGCAGUAGGCGAGGUGUCUUUAAAAGACUUAACCCCACUUAGUGUAAAUAGUUUCCAUCAGAAGGAAUCGGAGUGAAUCAGGUCUUGAACUACGUUCCUUUGUCCCAGACUUCUACUACCACACACACAGUACAGAGUUCUCCGUCGCGGGUCUGUGCGUUAAUGGCCAUGCACAGUACCUUAAUUUUUCAUAAGAGUUUCUAUGUAUAGCACAUUCACAUAGCCGCGGCCACAUACUGAUACUCUUAUAUAGGUGGUUUCCUCCAGGGAUGUGUGUAGAGUCAUAUCUCGCGAAAAUUAUCGCCUUGGAUUCCAUUAAGAGCUCUCAGCUCAACCUAAUCCACUACACAGAGCACUACUCACCAUGGGGAUGGAAUUGGAGCGAAAGCUCCUCUAUAAAAUUUGUAGAAAGUGCUCUUUGGCCAACCUGACAGCUUAUUUUUACCACAUUGAACCUUCUUCAAGGGAUCUCCUAUCACAAAGGUUGGGUUCCCACUGCAGGAAGGCCCUUUAUAGGCAAGAUCCCAUCCCCCUCGAUGACAGUAGGACUAUAGUCCUCUUCAGGCCUUUCAUCAAGCACUCUGCAAAAUUUUGAUCAGAUCUGAUAAAACUCAAAUUAAUAACAUUAUGAAGAAUAACCAUCUAAUAAAUUUAUGUCAAUAUAAUUUAUUUGCCAACUUUAGAAUUUACUAAAUUCUUCUCCAGGAUGAACAUUAAUAGUAAAACAGAUAAACAUAUGAGAGCAAACAUAAUAUCAAAAUUAAUCAACAGAUAAAAGAGUUUCCCCCCACAAGUUCUGAGAUACAUUAAGACUUAAGAUCAUGAUAUUAAUCAUGUGUCCAGUAGGGUUCUGUUCAACAACAAAUAGAUGCCCAAACAAUUUUAAAAGAUAUGUUCGAGCAAAAUAUAUAGAAUUUCACUAUUAUUUGACGUUGCAAACAGAGUAUAUUAACAAUACUGAAACAAUAAUAGAGAUGAUUAAAAUUUGAUUUACUGGUUUGAGACUAUGGCUAUAAGAAGUUGAGCAAACCACGGGUUCGAAUCCCACUGAAAACAAAUUUUUAUUUUAUUUUAUUUUUUUUCUUUUAUAAACAAAUUUAAAACACCCUAUAACAAAUAUGAGAAUAUAAUAAUUGAUAAUUAAACUAUAUGCAAUUAGCAAAUAAAUUAUAUGCAAUUAGAAUUUGAAAAUACUAAUUCUAAUUUAUUUAAAUUAGAACGACAAACAUACAAUCAAAUUUGUCAAACAAAAAUAACAUGCGAUAUCUUUCUAUUUUAAGCGAAAUAAUAAUUAAACUACAUACAUGAGUGUGCUAGUCUCGAACAGUAGUGCAGCGCAAGGGCGACAUGAUAAAAUUCCAGUAACAAGCUAUCAUGAGUAGACACUCCCCCACAAAAAAAUUAAUUUAAUAUCGAGGUUGGCAAGUAAUCCACAUAUAUCAGAUAUUAAACUAAUAAGAACAGAUAUUACAACGAAACAGUAUAUGUAUAUACGGUUACACUGAUUUUUUUUUUUUUAACUUAUAAAAAAAAAAACAGUGAAAACAAUAUACAUAUAGUUUUGAAAUCCAUAAUGUCCGUACCUUUUUAUUUUCAAAACAGCUACAAGUAAAGGCAUUUUUUUUUUUUUAAAUACUCAUCAAAUAAAAUGUAAUUUAAACAAGAAAUUACAUAAUAUGCAAUUAUAGGUUAAAAUGAUAAUUCCGAAAAUUUUGUAUUUGAAUGCCAAUUAUACAAACAAAUUAACUAACAAAUUAUAUACAUAUAAAAUUAAUUUAAUACGGAUUAGCAUUCGUCAGAUUUCAAUCACAAUCAAAUCGGAAUUACGUCUUAGAUUGUUGGAACAAAUACCGCACAGAAAUUUGAUUGUGAUUUAAAUCUAACUAAAUUUUACUAUGAAAAUAAAUAAAUCAACUUACAGAUGAUCGCUAAAUCCAAAUAAAUAUUUAAUUGAUCCGGAAGCGUGCGAGGCACUGCCCUAAGGCGUAUUCCUGUCCUUACGUGCGGGAUUAACCGGAAACAACACCCCAAGGUACGACCGGAAUUCCUCCUCCUGCGAGCACGAUCGUGAAGAAGGUUGACGGAGACUCUUUCAACACCCGAUGAUAAAAGAUCAAAUAAAUUAAAAUUAAAAGAAGAAAAAUUCCUCUCUCUGUCGUGUUCACAUCUCCACAUGAACAGUAUGCGAAGCAUACUAAUAUAGAGGGGAAUAGAAUGUAUGUAACCGUAGAAUCCAACCAACAUUUUAAUCCUAAUUAAUUACACAAAGCUAAUUAGAAAAUUUCAAAACCGCCCUAGAAUUCAUGCGCCACUAGAAGUCAGCGCAUGAAGCGCGUACGUCCGUAACGGCCGCGCCCGGAGCGGACGUCCGUUUUAAAGGACGUUAACAAUAAAAAUAAAUUAGGAUUAAUAAGUAAAAAUAGAGGAUUUUGAAUUUUUCUCCAACAGAUGACCAAGGACAUUCUACUUGGAAUGUGUUUAUGGUUACUAUUCAACUAUUUAUCGUAAAACAAACAUAUAUAUAAAAAGUGGAAGUACUUCAGUUUUUAAUUUACUAGUUCUUUUAAAUAAAACAACUCAAACAAGAAACUUCAGUUCGAAAGGCACUUAGGCUAUGUUUGGUUGGGGAACAAGGGUGGGGAUAAGGGGUUAUCCCCGCCUUGUUCCCCAGACACUAUUUUUACAAAAUUAAAAAUUUAAAUUUUAAAUUAUUUAAUUUAAAAUUUAAAAUUUUGAUAUUUUAAUUUUUUUUAUAUUUAGAAUUUGAUAUGUUAUUUUUUAAAUUAAAAUUACCAACUUUAAUUCUUAUCCCAUCUUACCUAACCAAACGUUAUUUUUCUUAUUCCCAGCAAUAACUCAAUUUUCAUCCAAACGCAAAAUUGAUCUAAUCCUCGCUUAUACCUCAAUUUAUAUCUAUACUCGGAAUACCCACUUUUUGCUUAUCCCCGAACCAAACGAUACCUUAGAAAGUAAUUUUCACUUGAAUUUAGUUCAAUUUGAAACCAAAAUGUUUGGAUUAAAUAGCUUCCAAAAAUAGUGGUAGUAGUAGCACAUUCAACAGAAUCUGGGCCAAACAGGAUGUCUUAAGGGCCCGUUUGAUUCGAGUUAUGUAAUAUUACCAAGUAUCUCGACAUAUCCAGGUAUUUUGGAUUUCGGCGUGAGAUUACUACUGAUGCUGCAUUAGCGCGUUUGGUUUAAUGCAGUAAUGUAAUACUAGAUUACAGUGUUUAUAGCAUUAAUACGUUUGGUUCAGUUUAUAAAAUUUAGUAAUCCUGACAUAAGAGUAUAGUUUUUUCCAAAAUUGCCUUUGUUGUGGUCAUUUGAAUAUUAGUUUUUACGGAAAUGACGAAUGGAGGGAAGGAGAUCGUGAUGCAUGAUUACCUGGAAGGACGACGCAAUAGAAGAUGAUAGGUGUUCGUGCGCGCGAGAGAGAGAGAGAGAGAGAGAGAGAGAGAAAGUGGCAUGAGAGAGAGAGAGGGAGGAAGGCGAGAGAGAGAUGAAAAUAAUAUUGUUAAUUAGAUUUGGGGUUGUUGGAGGGUAAAAUUGUCAUUUUACAUAAUAUAUAGUAUUAACGGGUUUCAGUAAUGCAAGAUACAUGACCCCCCCUCCUGUUAAUAUUUUCGAUGUAAUCCUGCUCGAUUUGUAAUGCUACAUUAACGAUUAGAUUACAUAGCCGAUUAACCAAACACAGUUAUCCUGAUAGAAUUGCCUGUAAUCCUGCCAGGAUAACUCGAACCAAACGCACCCUUAUUACNUUAGGAAAUAAAAUAAUAUAUAAAACAUAUUAAUUAGUUAAAAUUAAUAAAAGAUAAUAAAUAAGUUAAUAAGAUAAUAAUAAUAAAAGAAAGUAAUUAGGAAAUUUUGGAUUUUACACGAACAAAUAGUAGUGGGGAUUCAACAAUAUUAUCUUUAAUUUUAUGCACUUAGCUCAUAGCUAAAAGAAGUUUUGCACCUUUCAAUCUUUCAUGAACUAUAUAUCUCUCUUUUUUUCUUUUUUUUUUUUUUAAUCAAUCCAGUUUUAGGAGAUGAUUUAAUUAUCUUAUUCCAGGGGAACCAAAUAUGGAGUUUCUUUUUCUGUUUGAUGUAACAAGUCACUUCUUUUUUCCCUUUUUCUGGCUUCAACUUGCUUAUAUCUUAGGAUAUAAUUAAUAUAAUUAGGAAGAGUUUGUUCUCUUCUGCUACUCAUGAAUUAAUAUUAUCGUUUUGUCAGUAAUUAAAUUGAAAAAUACUAUCUGUACGCCUGCAUAUAGAUGCACAUCGAUCUCAUACCUCACUUAUCCGAGAAUUUAUAAACUCUUUUCUUGAGUCUCUUCUAUUAAAAUAAAAGAGUUAAUAAGAUCAGGGAGAAAAUAGUAGCUUUUGUAUGGAUGGAAUGUAAGAUUAUAUAACUUACACUAUCUAAAUAGGGUAUAUAAGUAGCCUCGAUCAAUUGAAUUUGAUCACUCUAACAAUUACGUAAAAGAAACGCCUAGAUCAUCCUAGAUCAUGGGAAAGUUUAUUUCACCUAUUGUUUCAAAGGAAUCAAUGGUAGCAUUUAUCUAUCACUAUCUGGCUCAUGCAGUUGACUCGUACUUUGAAUCGUUGAUAUAAGAGGUUGGGAAGUUCGAUUUUAUUUUUUUAAUAAAGUUUUGUGUAUCAAUAGAUUUCUUGUAAUUUUUUCAUCCAAAUUGUUUACUCGACAGCAAAAGAAAAUAAAAAUUUUAAGUCUCAUUUGUUUUCGUAUUUUUAUUUUCUUAAAUAGAAUUUUACAGAUUAUAAGAUACAGGAGUGGCUUUUACUUGACAACACAAAACAAAAAUAUGAAAACAACAAUUUUUUUUUUUUUUUUGUACUUCCAAUUUUUUUAAAACAAAUUAUCAUCUAUCACUUAAUUGGAUGCAUCAUAAGCUAUCCAAUUAUAAUAUCAAAAGAAAAGUCUAACCUCUGACACAUCAUAUCAUAUAGAAAUAGUGCUUAAAUAAGUGAAGAAAAGGUAACAAUACCGUAUAUAUAUAUAUAUAUAUAUAAAUAUAUAGCCCACUAAUGAUGCUUGUAAAACACCAAGUACUUGGUGCUUAUAAUUUUUUACCGUUAGUCUACUCUUCGGAUCAUUUUCAACCAUUAGAUUAUAAUAGUUCAAUGCCACCACCCCCACUAACCCUAGGGGCCAUAUCAUCCUAACCGCAUAUGUCUCUUAUCCAAUGGCUAAAAAUUACAAGCACCAAUAUACUUGUACUUUUCAAAGUAUGAGGAACUCAAUUAUAUAUAUAUAAUAUUAUAUAUAUAUAUAUAUAUAUACUAAUAUAUAUAUAGCCUUAGUCUUGUUCUAUACUAUCAUCCGAUGCCUAAAAAGUAGUUCGCCUUCGUUAUUCAUGCAAGUUGUUUUCGAUGAUGGAGCUUCGCGAAUCGAUAUAUAUACUUAUAUAUAAUAUAUAUAUAUAUAUAUAAUAUAUAUAUAUAUAUUAUAUAUAUAUAUUAGAGUAGCGGCUACUAUCUUAUAUGAGAUAUUUGGGCCCUUUCGUACUGCAUAAGUUGUUUUGCUAUGAUGGAGCUCCGGAAUCGAACGAUCCACCCGUUAAAAUAUGAUUAGAAGAAUUGAAACUUUUAGAAAAUAAAUUAUGCGUAAAUUCUUUCCGAGAAUCAUAAUAAUUCCCACUCAAUGGCGGCAUUAAAUGAGCGGUCAUAAAUCGAUACGACGUCCUAAAAAUGGAUGGAUCCUUCAAUUUAAGAUCGGAGUUAUUGAUUCUUAUCUAGAUAGGAAUAGAAUUUCUAUUCAAAAAUUCCAUCUAUUUGCAAUUCUUUUAGCACCUUUAAACCUGCACGCUAUUCCAUGAUACCGUCGUUUAAAAAUGUCAAUUCUUGUAAGCCGCUUUUGAUGCCGUAAGUGAAAUAGUAUGUCCGAAAAAAUUAUUGAAAUUGAAUAUCCUUAGAAGCUAAUACUCUAAGAUAUAUUACAGUAUGGAUGCGUCAAUACUCGAAAGCUUUAUAAUCGAAAGCGCAACUUGAAUAAGUACGAGGACACUCGUACUCAUAAAAGUAUAUGCUAAGCAGCCGACUCUAUAUAUAUAUAUAUAAUAUAUAUAUAUUACCUUUUUAUAUACUCUUUUCAACAACGUUGAUCGCUACGCAUUGACCGAAGCAUUGUAAGCGCUAACUAACCGUAAGAGUAGCUUUGCCUUCACAUAUCAAAAUUAUACAGAAUAGACCCGAGUUUUAAAGAAUCCUAAACACACGGCAAAAAUUACCAAUCGCCAAGAACGCCAGGCUCUCGUUUGCUAUCUCGUAUCAUCCGCUCAACCUGAGCUGCUCCACCUAAAAUCAAUACAAGUUGCUGUCAAUAUACUGUAUUUCGACCCCCCCCCUCCCCCCUUCCCCCGCCCCCCUCCUUUCUUUGGGCCUCUAAGAUCCAACCCACAACCACGACUCCCCUCCGAUACGUAUCUGAACAACAUAAAGAAAGUUAAAAAUUCGCCGCGUAGCGCGAAUACCACAUGCGCAACAAUCGGACACCAACCAACAAUGCACAAUACCCAUCGGAGGCCUAGGGUGCCAGGACUUCCCGCAUAUGCCGACCCAUUCCCCCAUCCACCCGCCCCCCGCCCCCCACCUCCCGUCACUCAACCCCCCCCCCCCCCCCCAAACAAAGCAACCACAUACCACCACACCACACCCACACGCACACCCACCACACACACCACAACCGCUGAUCCGGCCGGCGGUGAGGUGUGUUGGUUAGGCCGCCUGGUUCAGAUAUUUGGGUUUGGUGAGGAUAGGAACAAUUUCAGAUGAAAUAAUAUCUCAUCCUCCCGAGUCACUGCGAACGGUGCACCCGCAUCGCUCCACCUGAAAGCCCUGAAUUAUAUGAUCUCGUCCAAGUUCUUCGGAAUUGUUUCUCAUGUUACGCAUGGAGUAAUCAGAUUUAUCAUUGACAAAGAAACAAGUAACAAAAGAGUAACGCAUCGUCGCCUGAAAUUAAGUUCACGUAUUUAUACGGUUUUCUUUUUCUGAACAUAUGCAUGUUCUGCAUGAAAUUAGGCGAGCAGAUUUAAAAUGCCCCUCUGUUAAAGCUGUGUCCCAUCGGCCAUACCGUGUUAACAAGGUGUUAGCGGAGAGUCGACCCCUUGUAACCAACGAACAAGGGUCGAAAUCGCUUCUUUUUUGAACAUUAAUUAGCUAUGCAGAGUUUGUUCAUGACCAAAAUUUUGGAAGAUACUGUAAGGUAUUAUGUCAAAGGAACAUACUCAAUGGACCAAUGACCGUGUGCAUCGAUACUUGCAUUCUUUGAGUUGGUGAGACAUUUGAGUUGAUUGAACUCUUUAUAAUAUUGUGUGUGCCCGGAUUUUUUAAACAAAAGUAAACAAAAUUUGGAUUAAUUGAAGAGAUGAACAAGUUAAUAAUGCCGAAAGCUUCAAGAGGCCCGAACAUUUCUCCCAUAAAACCUAUUUUAUAUAUAUAUAUAUAUAUAUAUAAUAGGAACUUGCUUCCCAUAAAAGACUAUUAUAUAUGACGAAAUGCUUAUCGUUGAAGUGAAGACAUUCACCGCCCUCACGCCAACAAACAGAUAAUUGUUUGCAACGAAACAAUUUAGCGCACGCUACUCCUUUGUUCAUUUCAUUUAGAAAUAAUCACUUAGUUACUUGGAUAUAUGAAUAAUUAGGAUUGAAUUGAACGCUCAGUACCACAUGCAAUAACCUUUGCCACUCGUGCUCCCGUUACAAAUGCAUGCACUUUGCUGUUAAAAAAAAUAUGGACGGUCCGCGUUUUAAAAGAAACAAAUUAGUCCAUAGUAUUUUAAUAGAGUUAUAGUCAACUUUACUACGCAUGCAUGGCAGUGUUCAGACAUAGAUGAGAAUUGAAAGACCAGAGAAGUCUGAAGAAAUAAUAUAGUAAACCGCGGAGAGGAGUGGCCCAGACCAUGAAAGAAGGGUUACAGAGAAAUAUGUGGCAAAGAGGAGCAAAAGUCUCUCACACGAGUGUAGAGUGGGUGGGGUGGCUGAUGUUUUUGGCUGUUGGCUUAGAACAUUGAGUAGGUAUGAUAGUAGCGCCACAUGUGUGAUGCCUAAGAAUUUUGUGAAUGCACUAAUAAAUAGUCCCUCAAUGAAAAAAAAAGAGAACAAAAACAUUCACCGGUAUUUAAUACUCUAGUCGCUUUUUAAACCGUCGCAGCCUGCUGAGCUUUUCUUUUUUUCCCACUCGAGCUUCUCCUAUUUAUGUAAUAGUAAUAGUGGGAUUCCAGCAAUUGGCCUUUAAUUUUUUGUUAACUAAGUUCCUAGCUAAAAAUUGUUCUUCAUGAAAGUUUGGAUUUUCUUCUCUAACUGUUAAUUAGAGUUUAUGUUUGAGCUAUUAAAUUAACACGUUUAUUAGAGUAAUUUAGAAUGCCUCACUAUUUUUAUGAACUUGAUAGAGGUAUUUCAAUCAUGAUCAGCAGUUUCUGGUAAUAUUUCAAGUAAGUAAAUAAUCGUGCGUAAAUUUAUAACAGGUGAACCAUUAAAUCAAGUUAAUAGACUUUAUAUUGAAAUUAAAAGUUUUAAAAAUUAGAUAAUGGUUUGUACAUUUUUUCCUCACAUUGUAGUUUUCAUGUUGACUCAUUCCUUCUUUGGAAUCAAAGAAUUAUAUAUUAAACGCUUAUAAAAGUGAUGUUUGCUUUCUUUUGUGGAAUUCCAUGCGCUGGUAGUAAUUAAAUAGAGGAGGUGUACGAGCUCUCAGUCUUGAUGAGUGAUAAUAUUUCUGAAGAAAAAAGUGUUUGAAAUUAAGUAUGUUCCGGGUUAUAAAGUAAAUUGUGAUUAAUUUUGAAAACUUAUUUUUCAAGGGAAAAAAAUUACAAUAAUUUAGUACAAGUUUAGGGUUAUCAUCCACUGAUAGUCGGGUUGUAGGCAACUCCCUUUCAAGGGGAGGCCGCAUGUUCGAUCUAGGGGUGGCAAUCCAACUCGCUGUUCGCGAGCCACAGCUCGUUGUUCAAUUCAAAAUGAGCUCGAGAUCGAAUCGCUCGUUUAGUAAACGAGCCUAACACGAGUUUGGAUCAACUCGGGCUCGGUUUGCUCGAUAACAGCUCGAAUACAUAUAUUUUAUUAUGUUAAAUAAUUUAUUUAAUUUAUAUUUAUAUUAUAAAUAUAAUAAUUAUAUAUAUAAUAUAUAUAUAUUUAUUAUUUAAUUUUUAGUAAAUAAAAAUAUAAAUGCGAGCCUCAAUUAUAAAAAAAACUUAUUUAUAUCUAAAGUUUCAACUAUUAGAUCAAAAUCUAAUGGAUAAAUUUAUAAAUUUAUUUUUCAUAUAUAUAUCAAUCUAAUUCUUUUAACUUAUUAUUCAUUGGCCAGCUCAGUUUCGACUCGUUUAUUAACGAGUCGAACACGAGCAGAAUUUUUUUGGCUUGAUACUUUAGUAAACACGAGCCUCGCUCGGUGUUCGGCUCGUUUACACCCUCUAGCUUUCGAUCUGGCUUAUAUGUGUAUAUAUUUAUCUUUUACCUCUAUUCUUAGAGAGGAGGAAAUCUACUAUAUCACACUUGUACUAUAUUAUCAGUAACAAGCCAAUCAUAUUUCUUUAUUUAAGAAAAAAUUAUGAAGAAAGUUUACUGUAUCAAACUUGUAUCAUAUUAUCAGUAACAAACCAAUCAUAUUUCUUUAUUUAAGAAAAAAGUAUAAUAAAAAUAUUUUUUUGUUAAUCAUGAUGGGAAGUAUCAAUCCAAGGGGGAUAUCGAUCUAAGGGAGAUAAUUCUAUUGGCGGAGGACGCCACGUCAACGAUAUACCGGUGCAUUCUAGAUUUUGGGUAUAGUAUGACCACUAUUCUGAAAAUAAUGUGCACCUAAGAGGAGUGUUGGGAGGACACGUGUCACCCCAUGGUCCCCCCAAACCCUCCUUUAAUGUAGUAGUAUAGAGUAUAGAUAUAGAUAUAGAUGUGUAAGAUGUAUAACUUGGAAUGACUAAAAUAGCCCUUAAUAAUUGGGGCAUACUUUUCAUAGUCAAAUUUGUACACCUAAUUAAAGCAAGAAGGUGCUUAAGUCAAAAGUUUUCAUUGGUUAAUUAGGGCGUGUUUCGUUCGUCUCCAUUUCACCCUAGAAUCGAAAUCGGAAUGGACGAAUCCAUUUGUCCGUAUUUGGUAUGCGGGAUGUCUAUUAUGAUUUCGAUUUCCGGAUGAAUGGGAAUUCCCCAAGUACCUUUUUUUCCAAUCCGACAUAGGAGACCGGAUUGGAAAUUAAAUCCGGACAGAAUGAAUUUGUUUGGAUUAAAUUUAAUUUUUUAAGUUUAUUUUUUUUAAUUAAAACAUAAGUUUAAGUUUAAAAAUUAUAUUUAUAAUUUUAAAUUUUAAUUUGAAUUUAAAUUAAAAAUUAAAAUUCAGUCAAGCAUUUUGAAUCUAAUUUAAUUAUAAUUUGAAUUUAAAUUUAAAUUUAAUUUAAAAUCUAAAGUUUUAUUCAAAUUUUAUUUAAAAUUUAAAUUAAAUUUAUGGAUUCAAAUUGAAAUUGAAAUUAUAAUUUUAAGUUUGAAUUUGAAUAUCAAAAUUUAGUUUUAUAUUUUGAAUUAUCUGUUCAAUCUCAAAUUUUAAUACUUUAAAAAAAGUUAUUUAAAAGUUUGACAUCAUUUUAAAAUUUUAACCUAUAUUUUUAAUAAUUAAUUUUCAGUUUGAAUUUAGACUAACAUAUUAUAAAGAUAAAAUUGAUAUAUUAAUUUGAUUACACUUUUUAUAUCUAUCUGAACUAAACACUGACAAUAAAAAUGGUUCAUUUCAAUUUCGAUUAAGGUGGCGAAUCAAACAUAAUGAUGUAAUGAAUCAUUCCGACUCUAUUUCCAGCUUAUUCUCAUUCCAAUUCCAAUACCGAUUCCAAUUUCGAACCAAAUAUAUCCUAAAUGUCAAGAGCCAACUGAUGAGCAUUAAUAGAAGUUUAAAAAAAAUACAAAUAAAAAAAACAUUUAUUGGGAAAAAAAUAUUUAACCUAUUAAAUAAAUAAUUGUGGAGACUUAGCAAUAUGUUCUAAAAUGGUGAUAGUAAAUAACAUAAUAAAGUUUAAGAGCAUGCGUUUUCUUAUUUUUUCCUUCUCUCUUAGAGGUGUUUGGUUUCUCGAAAAAAUCUAAAAAAUUAUAUUUACCGUAAAAAUUAAGUUUCCAACAAAAUAUUAAUUUCGGAGUUUUUGUUUUCAAAAUAAAAAAAUUCAUAAAACAAAAACACUAAUUUUUCAUAAAAUUUUAAAAAAUUAAUAAAAAGAUAAAAAAAUAUUUUCAGUCACAAAACUAUUUUUUGGAAUAUUUUUCGAAGAACCAAACACCCAUGUUAAAUAUUUUAAAAAAUAUAUAAAUAUGACUUAUUUUAGAAGUAUUUCACAAUCUAUAAAACUUUUUAUUUCGCUACCUACUCUUUUUCUAGAUUGUUUAAUUUGAGCCAUUUUAUGGCUCUUUAAUUACAUAUUAGGUCCACUAUUUAUUUUAAUGAACUUGAUUACGAUGGUAAUAAUGUUUCUAUUCAACAAGCGAAGUGCUUAAAUUUUAUAACUGAAUAACCAAAAUUUUGUAACAAAAUUAAGAACCAUUAUGUUAAAUGAAUAUAAAGAUUAGAAGCCAAAAUUAUAAUCUUAUAAAAUUAGUUUCAUACAUUUUUUUCCUUUCACUUAAUGAUCAUGGUUGGCUCAUUCCUCUUUUACUAGAGUCAACAAAUUAUCAAAUGAAAAAGUUUAUUUAAAGUGAUGUUCCGUAUUCUUUGUGGAAUUCCGCAAACUCCACUUUUCUGAAGAGAAAAAAGAAAAGUUUGAAAUUAAAGGUUUGUUUGGUUCGCGCUAUUCAAAAAAAUAAUUAAUUAUGCAAAAUAUGAAUCUUUUAUUAAUUAAUUACUCAAGUGUAAGGAUAAAAAAAAAGAAAAAAAUAAUUUAUACAAAUUUAAAAAUUGAUAGGGACACGUUCUUUGUAAGAGAGAGAGAGAGAGGUCACAAAUUCAUUCCUAUUUGUGAUAUUUUUAAACCAUAAACUAAUAAAAUAAAAAUACGCAAAAUCAAGAGAGAUUUAUUGUAAGUUUAUCCUAAUUUAUAAGAUGAUGUUUAUUGUGGUGCUUCUUUGUACCAUUAUUAUUUUUCCAUAAUUUUCCAUCACUAAAGUUGAAGGAAACUAGCGUAGUGAAACGAUUAAGGGCCAAUUUGUUUUUGUGGAUAACUUCAGAAAAAUUAAAAGUACUGGUGCUUGUUUCUGCAUUGAAGUUGUGAUAUCAUAUGAACUCUCACUCAUAAUUAUAUGGACAUUGGCUUUUCAACUCGACCAAAUUUCAAAUCUAGGGCCUAAAUUUUUAAUUAUUUAACAAUUAAUUCUCUGGUUCUAUAAUUUAUCAAUUUAAAGUAAUUAAUAUUAACCAAAUGACCAAGAAAGGACAAAAGAAAAGGACUCACGCCAUAAUCAUCAACCUGUUGUAUAAAAUUAGCUAUAAUUAUCAUAAUUAAGGGACAGAGCCAUAGUGGGGCUCACAGCCUCACAGUGGUCAUGACCCCCCUCAACUUUUAAAAAUUAUAUAUAGUCCUUUAUAAUAAAAAUUAGGGAUAACUUCAAAACCCCCUAUGUGGUUUCCAACUUUCUCACUUUAGUACCCUGUGGUUUAAAGUGUAUCAAUUUGCCCCCCUGUGGUUUCGUUUUUCUCUUUUUUUUUUUUUAUCAAUUUUAUUAUUUUUUUUUCUCAAAUCAGUAACAAAAUUAAAAUUAAAGGGCACUAAAGUAAAUAUUCGGUAAAUCUAGAUGGAUAUCUGAUGUUUUUUUGCAUAUAAUUUAACGAAAUAUUAAGAAAAAAACUAUAGAAAAAAUAAAAACAAAACCAAGGCGGCUCAUUAAUAAACGAGGCGAACACGAGCCGAACCUUUCGGCUCGAUACUUUAACGAGCUAGCUCGUGUUUGGCUCAUUUCAUAAACGAGUCGACCCCAGCUCGCUCGUGUUCUGCUCGUUGACACCCCCAAGUGACUACAUGCAUAUCGAAAAAUAGUGUUUAGUUUAAUGCAUAUAAAUCUAAUUACUUUAGUACGCCCAAAUUGCUUGCAAUUUUAAGUGCAGUAGUUAGAAAGUACUUUUAAAUAGGUAAAACAGUACAUUAUUUUGAGUCGGCUAGAUUUUACUAUCUAAUCUUCCAAUUUGUUUGAUGCGUCAAUCAACGACACUUUGACUUUAAAAUUUGAGUGUCAUUUACCUUCAGUUUCUCAGAACUAUAAAUUUAUUAAAAUAAUUCGAUAAAUUACGAAGUCUAAGUACCGAUGACCAACUCAAAUCAAACAAAUUGAAAUAUUUGACAGUAAAAUAAAAAUUUUGAAAAGAUAAGCAACUGACUCAAAAUAGUCCAUAGUUUAGAUAAGUAUCUUUUAAAUAAAAAUAAGCUUAUCACCCUAAUAACCUUUUAAACAAAAAAUAAUAAUAAUUUUUGUAUGUUAGAAUUAAUAGCACCAUCCACUAUAUAAAGUAACAAAGCUUGUAAAUAAAAAUGCUUAACUAUGCAUAACCAAACAAAAAUAUUUUAUAACUGUACUACUUUUAUCACAUUCAAUCAAAUAAGAUACAUUUACUUAUUACUAUCAUAUUGUCGACUGCAUGCAUCUUCAACUAAACUGUAUUUACAAUUAUAUCUCCUACAUGCGAAGAUGCAACUUUCACGGUCCCACCAGAAAUUAGAGAAGCAUAUCUUGAUAUGCUUUUGCCCCAACUCCUCUUUUCCCGAUUUUGCGGUGUCAUACCCAAAAGUUUAAAACUAUUUGGUGUUUACCUAAUAGUCUCUAUCAAUCCAAGUUAUUACUGAAUAAAACUUGUUUUCAGGUCCAAACAAAGCUUGUAAGCCACUGUAACAACAGAAUAAUUCUGAGUUUUCGGUAUAAGAGUUCCACACAGAUGGUGGAUAUAAAUCAUAUUCCGAAAUAUAUAUAAUGUUUUGUGGAUGUUUUAUCACACUCUUCUCAUACCACAUCGAUGGAAAUCACAAAAUUUCCCCUGAGAAAACUACGAUAUGGCAUCGAACAAGAUAGUCAUGCAACCAAACAGGUCGGGCAAGUUUGUCAUGGAUCAAAAUAAGCGCAAUAAUUUUCCGUUAAUAUACCGUAAAUAAACUUCCUAUUCAGCAGCCAGAGUUGAAAGUCCAAAACACUGAUGUCUUCCUACUUUAGUAAGAAGCUUUGGAGUUUUUCUAUUGCCAAACACAUUGGUAAGUAGAGAAGCUGAUUCAGAAACCAGAUCACCAGAAUGAACAGCUUUGUAAUGAGGACGGUCGUGUAAAAUGCCGCUUGCAAAAGAUACUGGAGCAAACAAAAACUGCACAAAUCUGGCAUUUAUAGAUUGAACUUCACAAUUCUAAUGGGCAAUGCAUUUAGGUCGUCAAUACGAUGAUUAUCAAAAUUCGCACGAGCUCAUGUUACUGAUUUUAGAAGGAAAAAUCUUUAAUGCCGACAAUGCAAAUGGGCGUCUUCUUAAACUCACCUUUGCAGGUAUACAUAUCUUCCUAAUUUUCGCUUUGCCACAAGUUGAAGUGCUACUCUGUACAACAAUGUCAGGUAUUGUAUGUAUAUCCUCCAUAUAUAGCUCAGCCGCUGCUAUUUUUCUUAUUGCUCAUCCUGCAUCAAAAAUUUUCAGUUCAACCCAAAUUAGGCAUCAUAAAGCUAAAUCUACAAAACGCAACAGGUAAUUUAUCUUAGAAAUUGUUGAAAAAGGCAUCAGAAUCAAGACAGAAGCAUAUGAGUGAUGACAAAAAAACAUAAUAUAGAUCACACUUCAUCUAGUGCUGAAGCACAGAGAAAUGCAAAAGCACUGCAAAUCAUUCCGAAGAAUGUCUUAUGAACAUGCAAAUGGUGUAGAUAGAGAGAUACCUCUUUAUCAGAGUUGGUCGCCACUUGAUCAUUGACGCUCCGUUGAUUUUGGCCGUCCUCUGGAUCAGAAUCAUAUGAUUCGCCGCUCCACAACUGACGACGUGGCCUUCUUUCCAUGUCCUCUUCUUCCUAUGUGAACAAAGUUUUACAAAAUCAUCACCAAUACCCUAAAAGCAACAGAAGGGGAAAAAAAAAGAAGCAUUUUGUAUGCCAAGGAGAAGCACCUCUUCAGGAACUUCAGUAUCUGGUGGUCUGGUAUGGAAUUGUACACUUGGAGCAUGCUCUAUUUGUGACAGGUGCUCAAAUAUCAUGUUCCUGCGAAUACAUCCUCAUCUAGUGGAUCAGAGAACAAAAUCAAAUUAGUAUUGUAGCAACAUUUGUAGCAAGAAGAACAUAAUCACCUUAUAUUCUCCAGAUCUUUCGCAGAGUUGAGAUUCUCCACAUUUUUUGGUUCAAUAUGAAGAGUAUAGUCGGGGCCAAAGUACUCAUAAUACUCGUUAUAGGGCAACUUGUUAUCAGGUUCAACUCCAACCGCAACAGCCGUCUGCACCACAGUAACAUCUCAAAUUUGCUCUAAAGCACUUGCAAAUAAAUUUGUAAAAUGGAUAAUGUAUAGAUAGCCAUCAUCCUUGAGUUCAUCAUAUAUUGCGAGUUCAUGCAUACUAUAGAUAUAAUCUGUGUUUUUUUCUAGGAAAAUGGCUUUAUAGUUUCAGUUUACCUGACGCAGCAAAAACAGGAAAUUUAGGGACUAUAGUUUUUAAGUGAGAAGUUCAAAAACUAGGUCUCAAUAUCACGAUAAAACAGUGACCAUCCAUACAUUUUACCCUCAUAAAUUCUUUAUGCAACUUUAGUUGCAACUAUAAGUCUAUAACUAAACAUGUGAGCAGAAAAUGCAGCGCAGCAAACCUCAUAGCACCAGCAGCGAGCAACAUUCCGAAUAGUGUAUCCUCCGCCUCCCAAAACCAUCAUAGGCACAUUAAAGGAUCGGAGAUAGCGGAGACAGUCGGCAUGCCCCCUCACAGACAGAUUAAAGCAACCUAGCCUAUCGCCGGCUAAUGAAUCCGCCCCGCACUGAAGAACAACUACAUCAGGCUGAUAAACCUCCAUGACUUUCUGGAUGAUACUUCUGAAUAGAAUGCCGAAACUAAUGUCGUCCAUCCCAUCACUCAAAGGAACAUUUACGGCAUAGUACUUUCCUUCGUUAUUGCCGACAUCACUGAUAUGCCCUGUGCCAGGAAAGAAUUCACCAUAUUUGUGGAAUGAAACAGUCAUGACUCUGUCGGUUGUGUAGAAAGCCUCCUCGACACCGUCUCCGUGGUGGAUAUCAAUGUCUACGUAUAGCACGCGCUGCAUAUUGAAUGAACUAGAUAAAUAAUAGAGAAAUAGAAUAACAAAAAUUAAGAAUAAUGUUACAACUGCCAUGGAGCAUAAAAUAGUACUUAAAGAAGUGAAAAUAAUCAACAAUCAGCACUAGAGUCAAUAAAGAGGACCGCAUAUUUUCAAAGGUCAGAAUCGCACAAGAGUAACUAUAGAAAAUAUAGUGCAUAAUAAUUUCAUGGCUAAGUUUCCUCACCAUAAAAAGCCAAAUAAUGAAGUGAAAUCAAGUUGAGGAAGGAUAUCAUUAGACAAGCAAUGUAGGUAAACAGAGUAAGAUGAGUUUGACAAAGCCAUGUGCUCUCGGCCCACAACCCUGAUCGUAAGACCUGUUUGGCGCAGCCGGAGCUUCUACAUAAGGGUUUGUUCGGCGCCGCUGUAGGUGCUUACAAAUGAAGGGCUGAGUUAUCAAACAUCUGAAGAGGAAAUAGGCCCCGCUUCCCAACAAAGCGAACUUCGCUGCAGCACACAUUUUGCACUGUAUUGACAUAGUGUUUUUUGGUCCAGCACUUUAGAACAAAACGGAAUCAAACAGGCCCUGAUAGCUUUUUCAUUGAAAUCCUCCAGUAGCAUCCUGCAACAGCAGAGGUACAAGAUCCAAAUUGGGUCCUCUACAUUGUGCCUAAAAGCACAUUUCAGAUCCUCGCUGCAAGCCUCAGAUUGGAUCUUCUACCUUUGGCCCCUAAAAGCACUUUUUCAGCUUCUUGCCGCAAUAGAAGUUUCAUAUUUUCUUUAACUUAAGAACCAAUUGCAGCUUCUACAAGUAGAGCAGUUUCCACAAUCAAACGAUACAGAUAUUAAGCAGUCUUGAUGGAUCUUCUUGUCUCUACUCUCUAGGGUGCUAAGAUUAGCAUGUUCUAGGAAAUACUCGGUAGAAAUUAAACACAGUUCUGAGGAUAAAUUCUUUUGAAUAAAAGACGUAACAACGUAUCAAAAGUUCUGAGUCUCUACAGAGAGUGCUCAGUGGCAACAACUCCCCAAGUAGGAUCUGCAGAUAAAAUUUACCUUUUGAGUCACGAACCCUAAAAUGGGACACCGUAACAACCCUAAAAUGUCUCAAGGGCUAUAUUAACCUACAAUAAACUCACACAAUCUUUGCUUAUAAAAUUAAGCUUAACCGCUAAAUGAUUCACCACUUUUAAGCAUAACAUAUAUUUUUUCUAACUCUAAAUUCAGAAAAUAUACAUCAUUUUUAAAGAUGGUAAGCAUCCGUUUGGUUCAACGUAAAACCUUGAAAAAAAAAUUUCUGUUGAAAAUUUUUUUUACUUUUUAUAGUGUUUGAUUGGAAGGAAAAAAAAAAAAAGUUUUCUAUCAACAUAUGUUGGCUUGAAAGGAAAAAAAAAAAAUCCACAUUUAUUUGGUUCAAUGGAAAAAAAAAAUAAAUGAAAAAAAUUCAUGCAGCUUGAGCUUUCGUUUUCUGCCGAAAAAUGGCGGAAAACAAAAACUUCAAUUUUUCUCCAACUAAACCCUAAACCCUAAAUGUCGAACCAAACAAGGGAAAAAAUACUUUUUUAUACCGAAAAUAAAUUUUCGGUUCGAUUUACGCCAAACCAAACGUGCCCCUGAAGGUAGAUGAUUCGUUUACCUUUUAAGCAUCCAAUUUUAAAAUUAUUACAAUAAUUAUUCAGCCGAGGAAUUAAGCAAGCAAUUAGUAGCGGCAUCAUAAAAAAAAAAAUAAAUAAAUAAAUAAAAAAAAAAAAACCUAGCUAGCUAGGUAGCUAGGGUUUUGUUUAUUUACCCGGUGGAACUUGAGGAGCUCGAGGAUGCCGAGGACGAUGUCGUUGACGUAGCAGAAGCCGGAGGCCUCGCACUUCUUGGCGUGGUGGAGGCCGCCGGCCCAGUUGAUGGCGAUGUCGGCGUCGCCGCGGUUGAGCUUGACGGCGGCCCCGAUCGAGCCGCCGGCGGAGGCCUGGCAGAACUGGUAGAGGCCCUCGAAGACGGGGCAGUCUUCCCCGACGUUGAAGCGGCGGACGGCGCGGGGGUCGAAGUCGGAGAGGGAGGCGGGGGCGCCGACGGAGGCGAGGAAGGAGACGUAGUCGUCGGAGUGGAAGCGGCGGAGGGCGGCGGAGGAGGCGGGGAAGGGGCGGGAGAUCUCCAUGCGGCGGUGGAGGGCGUAGUGGACGACGAGGCUGUGGGCCAUGCGGAUGCGGUGGGGCUUCAUCGGGUGGCCCUGCCCGUAGUAGUAGUCGCCGAUCGACGGCUCGUAGAAGUAGCUCACGCGCCGCCGGUGCGCCGCCAUCGCCGCCGCCGGAGCCCGCAGCGACGCCCCCUCCCCCUCCCCCGCCAUUGUCGCCCCGCGAUCGAGCUCGCGCUCUCCCUCUCUCUCGAGCUCACGAGAGAGAAGGGGUAAAAGGAGCUGAACAAAAAAAUUUGAUUGGGGGAGAAGGGGUAAAAGGAGCUGAACAAAAAAAUUUGAUUGGGGGAUCGUCCCCAGUAUGCACUUGACUACUUGAGUCACUUGACCACUACCAGUGUGCUUUGAGAUUCGUGCCGGUUGAUAUGAUGAUGGGCAAUAACAAGUGUGAUGAUUGGGGGUCGUCCCUGGGUGUAAACGAGUCGAACACGAACUGGCUCGUUAAAGUACAACAGUCGAUAAAUUUAGCUCGUCAAUAAACGAGCCGAACACGGGCUCACAAGCAGGCCAACGAAUAAUAAGUUAAAAAAAUUAGGUUGAAUAUAUAUAUAAAAAAAUAAAUUUAGAAAACUUUAUCCCUUAGACCUUGAUCUAGUAAUUGAAAUUUUACAUAUAAAUAAAUUUUUUUUAUAAUGAAGCUCGUCUUUAUUUUUUUUAUUUUACUAAAAAUUAAAUAAUAAAAAAAUAUAUAUUAUAUAUAAUUAUUUAUUUAUAUAUAUAAAUAUNUUAGUACUAUAUAGUUUUUAACAUGUAUUGUUAUCCUUUAAUCAUCAUGUUAGUAGCCAAUAAGUUAAAAGGAUUGUAUUGAAUAUAUAUAAAAAAUAAAUUUAUAAAAUCUUAUCAAUUAAAUUUUGAUCUAAUAGUUGAAACUUUAUAUAUAAAUGAAUUUUUUUAUGAUUGAGCUCGCCUUUAUAAUUUUAUUUUUCUAAAAAUUAAAUAAUAAAAAAAUAUAUAUUAUAUAUAAUUAUUUAUUUAUAUAUAUAAAUAUAAAUUAUAUAAAUUAUAUAAAUAUAAAAUAUAUGUAUUCGAGCUGUUUUCGAGCCGAACACGAGCGAGCUAACCCCAACUCGUGUUCGACUCGUUUAAUAAACGAGCCGAAAAAUUCAACUCGUGUUUCGCUCGUUUACUAAACGAGCGAUUCGAUAUCGAGCUCAUUUCGAGCUUAACGUGAGCUGGCUCGCGAACAUGGAGCUGGAUUGCGACCCUACCUGCAUGGAAACCUUGGAUCGUCCUUGUCACGAUAUCUCGCAUGUGCGCGUUGCGGAUCGGAUACAAAGAGGGAUUUUCCCACGAUAAAAAGUAGAGAGAGAGAGAGAAAGAAGAAAAAAAAUCUUAUUUUGCUCUUCCGUACAAACCCGAGAGAAAAAAAACAGAUCCUUAAAAUAUCUGAUAAGAGUUUAACAGAUAUAUUUCUUAACUAAUAAAAAAUAUAAAAAAUAUAUAAUUUAUUCUUUUUUUUAACUUAUCAUGAUAAAAAUAUGAUUUGGAGUGAAUUAGAAUCGGCCAAUAUAAACACACGAUAUAUCAACAAAGUUUAAUUCAGAAUAGGAUUUGAACAUAAAAGUUGAAGGCAAUAAGAUAACAAACUUACCAAUCCCAAUAGGACUUGGAAAUCCAUAUACACGUAUAUACACACAAACUAUUUUUUAGCAGUUCUUUGAUCUCCGGCUUGUUUUGUUGAUCUUUGCCGACGACGACAACGGCAUCUUCUCCGGUAAGCGCGACAUGCCGAUGUGGUCAUUCGUACCGAAAAUCCGUCCCCUGUUCAGCGCGGUGCUGUACUACAACGAUGCAGAUCAGGAUCCUGCGAUCGCUGCUCCGUGUCCGACGAUCACUUUCGAGUUCAAGUUCAACGUGACAAAGAUAGAGAUCGCCGCAGAACGCCGCCGCAUUGUUCGCCGCACGAAAGAGGAUGUGUUGGUCGUCCGCGACCUCGGCCACUUCCUCGCGCGGCAGCAGAGCAGGGCCGAGUUCAUCCGGGAGCUGGAGGCGGACGCGCCGCUGAUCGGCGCUCUCCCCGAGUUCGCCCGCGACUACAUAAAGCAGCAGUUCCCGCAGUAUGUUUGCGGUGUCGUGGCCCGGUCGGCCUCCAAGCCGCGCCUGGAGGAUCUCAGGGUGCUGGUGAACGUCACCGAGAAGACGUACUCGUCCGUGUUCUGCUGCGACCGGUGCCCGAUUUGCUUCGACGAGUUUUGCGAGGGGGAGUCGCCGUUCGUCGACUUCAAGCUGCUCCCCUGCGGCCACGGCUUUCACCGGAGUUGCGUCGUCGAAUGGCUGUGGAAGAACCCGACCUGCCCCACUUGUCGGCAACCGACGAGCAAGCCCCGCGGAUUCAACAAGUAAUAGAUAUACCGAACAUUAUAUUCAAAUAAAGGAGUGUUAUUUAUGACAUUGUUUUACAUGAAAAGUAAUUUUACGAUGAAUCAAACACACGAAAAAUUAUAUGCCAUGCAAUUAAUUUAAUUGAUUAAACUUUGAUCUAGAGCUAAGUGUAACACAAUCAGCAUAAUGGUGCAACAAAUUAAGGAGCCAUAUAUCUACAUGAUAGAUGGUGCAAAAUUCUCUUGAGAAUGUGAAAGAUUCAGGUAAACUGAUCAUGUCAUGUCAUUAGACGCCCCCGCUUUCGUCGAUUUUCUAAAAUAUAGUCACGUCGGGAAUGUUUGCGAUCUUGGGCCAAUCGACGCCGGUAUGCUUUCGGCACCGCUGCUUUAACGCAGGGUGACAAUUGGUGAUUUCGAGAGAACUCAGCGACGGGGGCAGCUCCGGAAGCGAUUGGAUUAGAAACGCAUCGUAUGCGACCAAAUCUCGAAGAGAACGCAGGUUUUGCAUGCUUUGCGGUAAGGAUUGAAGAGAAGCCGCAUUAUAUAUCUCCAAGUGUCGGAGAUGGUUGCGGUUUUGCAGCAGCCAUUGCUCGGGUAAGGAAGUGAGUUCGCAGGUAUCGAGGAACGUCAAACUUACGACGAAAGUGAGGCUUCGUAGAGGCUCCAUGAGAAGGAGUGCACGGUGAUCAAUUACGACGGUGCCAAGCUUUAAAAAGGAGCUCACGGCCGGCUCCUUUUGGUUGAAGUUCGUGGCCGACCGAGGGUACGAUGAGGAACCCGCGACGAGCUUGUCACAACCGCCGAUUUUCAACACUCUGAGCGAAGAAAGAGCUUGUAUUCCGCCGAGGGAUGUUAGCUCCUUGCAGUUCCAUAUCUCUAGAUGGGACAGCGACGUCAAUCUCGCACACUCUUGUUCCGCGGGGAGGGAUGUUAUGCUUGCACAACCAUUUAAAUUCAAUUCCGUGAGAGAAGUCGAAUUCGACAACGCCUGGAAUAAUAACAUCUCGAGGUUACCGCACGACCCGAUAGUGAGUUUACAGAGUGUAGACCGCGACAGUUGAGUGUUUGAGAUCCUGUGUGUUAUCAGAUUCGAGCACUUGGAUAUGUUCAAGGUUUUGAGGGAUUCAAGUCGCUCAAACCAUUUCGUCGGAAGAUCGGUGAGACUUUCACAUUCUGUAAUGGUUAGGUCCUCAAGAGCCUGGAAUUGUUCGUGCUGCUGCAGAAGACAUGGAUACAAAGAUGUCAGAAUUUUGUACAAAAUAGAUAUGCAAAUAGAAAGUGGCAUACUUACAUUGUUGUUUUUACGAUUCUGAUGUUCUGCAGAAGAAGAAGUAGCCGCUUCGGCAUUUACAACAUCACACCGUGUUACGAUAGCAGACAAAUUAGGCAAUGCUCUCAAAUUCGGACAACGUCUAAUAACCAUCUUAUGAAGUUUGGGGAACAUGCAUCUGUUCUCUGUUCCAACCCACUCUUCCCAAUUUGGCAUGUUCUGAAAAAUUAGCUCCUUCAAUGUUGGAAAGGUGCAAACAAUGCUACUCCCGUAGAAUGCGGCGGUUACCUGCUUCAGUUCUUGCAAACCGCAUAGUUUAAGGUAGUUGAGGGAAGGCAGCUGCCCGAGAGGCGGGAGGUGUUCCCAUCUUCCACAUUUGAUCAGCUUGACGGACGUCAGAUUCGAGAAAGAGACGUUCGCCAUCCAAUACGGAGAUUUAACACCUUUGUAUCCUUUAACUUUCAAAUUCUUAAGGUUGCUAUGCGGACUUAAGCUAUCAAGGAGUUGUUCGUCCGCCUCGGGAGUACAAGACUGAUCUAUGGACCAUUCUAAUGACAGCGAAUUGAGACAUUCUUUCUCAUUUAACCUCGCCUCUAUGGCCUCUUCGAAACUACUCACAUUUUGAAGAUCCCUAACACGUAGACGGCGGAGGUCUUUUAGGUCCUUCAGUUCACCUAUUUUGUAACCACUCUCCUCGCGGACGUAAAAAUAGUCUAACUUCAGCAUAGAAGAUAGCUUCCCGAUCGAGGGAAUAUUUGUCAUCAUUUCACGAGGAAUUUCUAGUCGGCGCAAGUUAACCAAGUUACUUAUUCCGUCAAAUUCGAUCUCCUCAAAAGUUUCUGGAAAAGGUGCUGAGAAUUUCAUUACUUCCAGGUGAUAAAGUUGAUAUGCAGAUCGAGGAAACCACUCUAACAAAUCUUCAGAAAAGGACUUAUCCUGGUAAAGAGAGAGGUAGCGGAGGUGUAUCAAGCUACUAAAUGCGUCACGAAGUUUAAAUAAGCGAUUCGUCGAAAUGCUCAACAGACGUAAGCUUUUGAAUCCUUUGAGAAACUCAUUGAGUACAAGUGCGUGAUCGGGAUAAGGCUCGUGAUCCUCCUUGAUUGAUAUGAAAAGCGUUCGCAAGUUCUGGAGAUGGGAGAUCUUUUGAAUGGCUAGAUGAUUUACAGCUUUGAUAGAUAAGUAACGAACAGUUUUCGGAAUGAAAUUUUCUGAAACAUCACCUUUGAUUCUCAAACAUUCCCCGUGAGAAACAUGUCGCGCCAGAUCAUGAAGCAGAUCAUGCAUGGUAUAAUAUUCGAAACAUUCGCCGAAAUUGUCUCUUGACCUGCGAUCAAAAAACGAUUUUCUUGUCAGAAGAUUCAGAUACUCCGAUCCAAUAUCUUCGGGCCUCCGCUUUCCGUCUGUAGACUGUCGAAUCAACCCCGAACCGAUCCACACAUGAACCAGCUCAUCUUUUGUAAACUCAUAGUCCUGAGAAAAGAUACUGCAGUAUCUAAAGCAAAGUUGCAAGUUUGCGGGCAAAUGGUGAUAACUGAAUCGUAAAACAGUCAUGAUGUUAUCUUUACUUUGCUGUAAAUUCAGAAUAUCUUCUUUGGAGAUUCUUUUCCAGUGGUCAUCAUCCAUACAGGAGUUUAAUAAUCCACCCAUAACUUUUGCGAGCAAUGGGCACCCUCCAAGCUUCUUCGCUAUUUGCUCACCAAUCAACUGUAGGUUCCUAUAGUCAUUUGGGUUCAGACCAAAAAAUGCAUGCUUAUUGAAAAGCAACAUAUAGUCAUGCUCUUCCAAACCGGUUAGAUAUAGAGACUCUUUUUGACAUUCCAUCACCUUUGCCGCCAUGUCCGCCACUGAAUCCAUUCGAGUCGUCAACAAGAUCUUACUCCCGCUUCGUCCAAACUUUAAAGGAGCAAUUAGUUUCUCCCACUCCGUCCUUUCCUCAUCGUUCCAAACAUCAUCUAAUAUGACCAAAAAUCUCUUCGAGGAUAGUUUCCCCUUUAGGAUCUCAUGCAGCGCAUUCAGACUCUUGUCGCCGAGAUUCUCCUUAGUUAUGGUAUCUAACAUCUUUCUUGUUAGUACAGCUGCGUCGAAGCUUUGAGAGACACAAACCCAUAUAAUAGGGUUGAAGAAUUGUUGCACUUCUUGGUCGCGGUAAAUGAGUUGAGCGAGAGUGGUCUUCCCUAGCCCGCCAAUGCCGACUAUUGUAAAUGCAGAAACAUUGGCGGUAAUCGCUACAGAUUGAUCACCGCUAGGUGCAGGUUUGGUCAACCAUGUAACAAUCAAGUUCCGCUCCUUGUCUCGUCCGAGCACCUCACUUUCGGUUAACAAGGAGCUAGUCUCGCGCGCAUUCCUGAUCCCUUCCAACAUCUGAUGCUUAACACUAUGACCAUGUAAGCCUAUAACAAGCUGAAGGAGAGGCUCCAUACUCGCAACAAAGCUAUCUAACCCCUUGACGGCCUCCCUCAACCGUUUCAGCGUGUCAUCACUAAAGAUUUGAACAAUAUCAGAAAACUUUCUCUUGCAUUUUUGUAUGAUGCCACCUACCUGUAGGUCGAAGAAGCUUUCUAAAAUAGAUUAAUGCUCACUAGUAAAUUUUGCUACAGUAAUGAAGUGCAAGAAAACAAAAACUUUCAUUCAAAAAUUAACUUGGGUGAAUUACAAGCUUACAACUAAGGAUUUAAAUAGAAGAAAACUUGAGGGUCAAGAAAACCCAACUCAACACAUAUUCUCCGCUACACUCACUACACAUGUACUCCCUAGGCACCGUUUGGUUGGCGGUCCCCGCUAUUCCGCCAAACGAAAUAAUUUUUUGUCGAGAUAUUUUAUCCCGGUCAAAUCUUACUAUUCCCGGCUAUCUCGGAAUAGCAAUGAAUUUACUAUUCCACUAUUUUGAUGGAAUAGUACUAUUCCAAUAUUUAAUUUCAAACUUUAUUAAAAUAAUAAAUUAAAUUAAAACUAAAUUAUAUAAAUAUAAUAUGUCAUAUAUUAUAAUAUAUUUUUUUAUUAUAAAAUUAUUAAUUGUACUAUAUUAACACAUAUUAUUUAUAUUUAAGUAUUAAAUAUUAUAAUAAAUUAUAUUUAAAUAUUAUAAAAUAUUAUUUUUAUUAAAUUUAAGUUUAAGUAGAAUUUUAAAAAAUUAUUNUAAAUUAUAAAUUAUAAAUUAUAAAUUUUAAUUUUGAUAUUUUAAUUUUGAAAUUUAAAAUUUGAUAUUUUAUAUUUUUCAAAUUUAAAUUUGAUAUUAAAUUUAAAGUUUGAAAUUUAAAAUUUAAAAUUUAAAAUUUUGAAUUUAAAAUUUCAAACUUUAAAUUUAAAAUUUUAAUUUCAAAAUUUAAAAUUUAAAAGUUAAAAUUUUAAAUUUAAAAAAUAUAUAUAUAAUUUAAAAUUUCAAAUUAAAAUAUAAUGAGAAGCGUAAUAUCAUUAUUUUUUAUUUAUAACUACCCACUUUAAUUAUUAUUCCAUCUUACCUAAUCAAACGAUAUUUUUUUUAUUCCCAAAAAUAACCCAAUUUUCAUCCAAACGCAAAAUUGAUUUAAUCCCCGCUUAUAGCUCAAUUUAUACCUAUCCCUUGAAUAGUCACUUUUUGUUUAUCCCCGAACCAAACGAUUUAGUUACCAUGUACUCCACAACAUCCAUUAGUUGCAAAAUUAAACCAUUACUCUAUUAUCUACAUGACUUAGUUAACUUCUAGCUAACUUAAGCCAUGACUAUUGCUACUUGGACCACUACUUGCAUAAUAAUAGGACCACUAAUAUCGAAUGUUAGAUGUAGCCCAUAUAAUUUAUUUAAGGUGAUCCCUAAGGGUACAGUUGAUCCAAAGGUUUAAGUGUAUCAGGGCAGAUUCUUGAUAGAAGUACGUUGGAUGAAGAGAUGUGCUGUUAGGAUGAUAAUAGUGCCCUAGGGAUGAGUGGGUAUUUGGUUGAAUAUUAUGAUCUUAUAGAUGGAAAUGGUCAAAAAGAUAGAUCUAACGGCCGAAAACUUAUGAAUACAAAGAGAUUUAUACGCAUAAGAGUAUAAUAGCCGGACUCUCUAUGUGUUAUUAGAAGCAUGGAAGUUUUCAUGCUCCUAAGCUGUUUUUGAUUAUAGAACUUCUGAAUCGACGAUAGACUCCGCUAGAUUUGAUUUAUCGUAUUGAACUAUUUAGUAAAUAAAUUUUACGAUUUUUCGAUAUAAUUUACCUAAUGAUCAAAAUGACUCAAAAUCAACAAAUUUUAUUGGUUGAUGUGUGCCAUUUGCAAGUUUAACGGUGUAGAAGUAUUCAAAUCAAAUGAAAUUUUGAUAGAAAAUUUUUUAUACUAUCUACAAUAAGAUUACUAUUUUUGAUCGAAAAUUUUAGUGUUAUAUCAUAAUUUUUUGUGAGAUUUUUAUUUUCAAUCGUUGAUUUUGAGUCCUUUCGAUCACUAGAUAAAUAAUAUUGAAAAAUCGUAAAAUUAAUUUUCUAAAUAGUUCAAAUACGUUAGAUCAAAUCUAACGGAGCCAAUCGUUGAUUCGGAAGUUCCAUCAUCAAGUUCCAUCAUCGAAAACUGCUUAAGAGCAUAAAGGCCUUCGUGCUCCUAAUAGCAUACAAGACCUACUCACACACACACUCUCUCUCUCUCUCUCUCUCUCUCUCUCUAUAUAUAUAUAUAUAUAAAACUGGAUUUUCCGUCUAAUCCUAAUCUCAUUUUU